Small nuclear RNA from Erinaceus europaeus (western European hedgehog), 102 nucleotides. The record is from Ensembl. Lineage: Eukaryota; Metazoa; Chordata; Mammalia; Eulipotyphla; Erinaceidae.
CUUGCUUCAGCAGAAUAUAACUGUCAUUGAAUGAUACAGUGAAGAUCAGCAUGGUCCUUGCACAAGGAUGACACACAAAUUCAUGAAAUGUUCCAUAUUUUU